This 552-nucleotide ribosomal RNA is filed under the name Triticum aestivum (bread wheat). RNAcentral describes it as "partial small subunit ribosomal RNA". The record is from RNAcentral. Lineage: Eukaryota; Viridiplantae; Streptophyta; Magnoliopsida; Poales; Poaceae.
AUGGCCGGCGCUGGAUCGAGCUCAUCCGCACCAGGAGAAGGCUUUCACUUGAUGAGUUGCCUAAAAGAAGUUUCGACACUCAGAGGUGACAACCACACUGAAUGGAGGAAGAAAGUUGAACUGGCAUUUGUUUGUGCUGAUCUUGACUGGGUUGUGGAGAAACCACAGCCGGUCAGACCCAUAGAGCCAGUAAGAGAGGCCACUGAUGAUGAUGCUGCAUGGUCUAAAAAGAAGGGGGACUAUGCUCCUUUGGAGCAGUCCUACCUCAUAGAUAACCAAAAGUGGGUCAAUGCAAACAAGAAGUGCAUGGCAUUUAUAAAGAAUACAAUCGAGAGCAUCAUUGUGGGCUCCAUUGCAGAAUGCACUUCCAUAGGGGAGUUGCUUACAAAGAUAAAGAGCCAGUUCACUAGCUCUUCAAAGAUAUAUGCCACCCAAGUGUUAGAGCAACUGGUGACACAGCGCUACACAGGUGGUAGUCAUGGAAUAAGAGAGCACAUCCCGAGGAUGAGUAAUAUGGCAGCAAAGCUAAAGCCCAUGGAUGAGGAUCUGGAG